GAGUUUGAUUAUGGCUCAGAACGAACGCUGGCGGCGCGUCUUAAGCAUGCAAGUCGAACGGUAAGGGAGAGCUUGCUCUCCCCUAGAGUGGCGGACUGGUGAGUAACGCGUGGGUGACCUGCCCUGAAGAUGGGGAUAGCUAGUAGAAAUAUUAGAUAAUACCGAAUGUGCUCAUUUACAUAAAGGUAAAUGAGGAAAGGAGCUACGGCUCCGCUUCAGGAUGGGCCCGCGUCCCAUUAGCUAGUUGGUGAGGUAAAGGCCCACCAAGGCAACGAUGGGUAUCCGGCCUGAGAGGGUGAACGGACACAUUGGGACUGAGAUACGGCCCAAACUCCUACGGGAGGCAGCAGCUAAGAAUCUUCCGCAAUGGACGAAAGUCUGACGGAGCGACGCCGUGUGAAUGAAGAAGGCCGAAAGGUUGUAAAAUUCUUUUGCAGAUGAAGAAUAAAACACAGGAGGGAAUGCCCCUGUGAGAUGA
Molecule: ribosomal RNA, 478 nt
Filed under: Treponema denticola
Lineage: Bacteria; Pseudomonadati; Spirochaetota; Spirochaetia; Treponematales; Treponemataceae
Description: bacterial SSU rRNA
Rfam family: Bacterial small subunit ribosomal RNA
Source: RNAcentral